This 332-nucleotide ribosomal RNA is filed under the name uncultured bacterium. Its description in RNAcentral is "bacterial SSU rRNA". It matches the Rfam family "Bacterial small subunit ribosomal RNA", at positions 568 to 899 of the family's 1533-position model. The record is from RNAcentral.
CGCGUAGGUGGUAGUGAAAGUCUAUGGUGGAAUCUUAGGGCUUAACCCUAAAAACUGCCUUGGAAACUUCAUUACUUGAGUCAGUGAGGGGAGGGUAGAAUUCCUGGUGUAGCGGUGAAAUGCGUAGAUAUCAGGAGGAAGGCCGGUGGCGAAGGCGGCCCUCUGGCGCUGAACUGACGCUGAGGCGCGAAAGCGUGGGUAGCAAACAGGAUUAGAUACCCUGGUAGUCCACGCCCUAAACGGUGGGUACUAGGUGUAGGGCUCGUAAGGGUUCUGUGCCGAAGGGAAACCAUUAAGUACCCCGCCUGGGGAGUACGGCCGCAAGGUUGAAA